This 3275-nucleotide long non-coding RNA is filed under the name Glycine max (soybean). RNAcentral's name for it is "long non-coding RNA (GMAX_LNC000176)". The record is from RNAcentral. Lineage: Eukaryota; Viridiplantae; Streptophyta; Magnoliopsida; Fabales; Fabaceae.
UAAAUUUGUUGGUUGACUGCCAUACGAAUUAAUGUGACAAGAAUAUGGAGGAGAUCAAUGGGGUCCUAAUCCAAGGAAAAUGAGGAGUGCAUAGGGUCGUCCGGUUUCAACUCGCAUUCCUAUUAAGAUGGACGAAGAAGGAAAUGAACGAAAAACUAGAAAAAAAUAUGGAAUUUUCCAGCAACCAGGUCAUAAUAGAAACAAUUGUCCCAACAUACCUUCAUCCUUCAACUUUCUUAUCGACAGAUAUUAUUGUUUAUGUAUUUUAUUUAUGAUGUAAUGUUCUUCUGUAAAUAACUUGUUAAACAAAAAAUAUUAUCAUUUUAAAAAAUGAAAUGACAUUGUUAAAGUAUUAUAUUGUGUAGACAACUGGUGUAGAUGUAGACAGGUGUAUUGUGUACUAAUUGUAUCUUUAUAAUAGUAGUCUUGACAGGUUUAGAAAAAGGUUGUUUUUAGUGUGGAUUCUGAAAAGCCUAAGUAGGAGCAGAUUCCCCAGUCUGAACCUGUCUUUUCUUCUUUCUUAUUGUACUCUUUCUAUUUUAUAUAAAUAAAUGUGUGGCUGAGAAAAGGAACUUAGCUCUUCUCUAAUGCAAUGCGUAUCUCAAACCCUUCAACAAUGUAGUCCUUAAACUUCAACAUGAGAUCAGAGCGGGUACGAUCCUGUUCUGACUGUCUCCGGCAUCACCACCGCCCGCCACCGCCGCCGUCUUUUCUUCUAGCGAACCCAAGGUUAGGUGCGCCUUGAAGAGUGCGAACCAUCCCUGGAAGUCGCGUGGCCCGAAUCUCUACCAUGUGCCAUCACAGUUUCGCGCCAUAUCUAGCGCAUGAAGCUUACGCGUCGUCGCAGUUCCAGUUGAAUCUCGUUGUCUACCACUGUCAGCCACUGUCUCUGUUGGGCAAGUGCCAUCCUGUUCCGCUGUCUCUGUUGCUUCUCGUCUUCUACCACUGUCGGCCACUGUCGUUAGCUGCUAAAACCUCUUCUUUUGGCCCUUCUUCUUUGUCUACAGAACUAUGGUGUGUUCUGGUCCUGUUUAAGGCCUCGCCUGGUUUCCUGGCUCUCUCUUUUGUUACAAUAGGAAACAUUGUUACCAAGCCAGAGAGUACCCAUUGCUUUGGCUUCCUCAAAAGCAGUUGCUCAGUUUGGCAUGGUUUUGAAUGUUGCCAAGGCUCCCCUUCCAACUGCCUUCAAAGUUCCAUUGUGUUCUGGUUCUAAAAAAUGUCAACUUCAGGCCCUGUUCUUUCUAUUUCUGAGACAUCCUCCAUUGGACUUUUGAAGAAAGAUUGGUGGGGAUGCUACUAUUUUUAAUUUCUCUUUUAGUUUGGCAAGAAGUGAUCACAAGGUUUUUGUUCAUAUUCCUCUUUGAAGAAAAAUUUGAGUUUGUUCAGUUAGGGUUUGAAGUUUCUACCAUGCUUGCAAGAUGUUUGAGAUUAUUCCCUCCUCAUUUGUCUCUCUUAACCCUUGUUGUGUAGCUUCAUUGUCUCCUAUCCUUCUAUUCAUCUGUUGUGUGGUCUGCUGUUUAAUAUCGUUGUCCCCUUCAUUCAUCAAGAGGGUCUCAAGUGUUUAUAUUAUAAAAAAAAAAGAGUCAUUUGUUGAUCCUGUUGUCCAGCAACUUCUUCCUUGUCUUUGUCCUUGAAGCAAUUGUUGUCCCCGGGGUUUGAUCUGGUCAAGAACCCCAACUAUAUAUUAAAAAAAAUCAUUAAGCUUCUAUCCAUGGUGAUUAAGCAUUGAUGUGAAGCUUCUACCAUGGAUGGUCAAACAUUGGUGUGUUGUUUUUGCCUUUAUGGUGGUUAAGCAUUCAAAAAUUGUGUUUUGCUUCUAUCUUGAGCGGUUAAGCACCAUGUUUAGCUUCUGCUCUUGAUGGUUAAGCUUUGUUGAUUCUACCUAUAUAAUGGUUAAGUACUUGUUUGUUGGCUUGCUUCUAUCUUGAGUGGUUAAUCAUCAUGCGUAGCUUCUGCUCUUGAUGAUUAAGUUUGAUCUACUUUUACCUUUUAGGUGGUUAAGUGUAUUUGCUUCUGUUAAGUGGUUAAGCAUUGUGUUGUGGCUUCUGCUUAAUGGUUCAGCAUAUUCCAAUUGUCUUUGAAUGUUUGCAGUCAUUUUCAAUCCGUUGCCAAUGUAUUUCCAACAUGUUUCAUUGUCUAUUUUUCUACUUGUAUUGUUCAUCCCAAGCUAGAAGGUGGAGUCAACUACAAGUGUUGACUCCACCUUCCAUCUUGUGAGGAGAAGUGUGUUGGUUGUCUCCUAAUCAGUACUAAUCAUUUUGAAGGCCAGCUCCAUUGUGUUGUUACCUGAAUUUGAGGAUCCCUCCUUGUUUUGGUCAGAGGAAGUUUAUCAUGGCUCAGCAUCUGAGUUUCAGUCAUGGGUUUCAAUUAAGCAAUCAAGCUCCAUCGCAACAUCUAACUUAGAAGAAGAUUCUUUCUGAUGCUUCAGCUCAUGUUCCAAGCUUGGAGCAUUUAAUUUAUAUGCUCCAGCUUGAGGGGGAGUGUUAAAGUAUUAUAUUGUGUAGAUAGUUGUAUUGUGUAGACAGCUGGUGUAGAUGUAGACAGUUGUAUUGUGUACUAGUUGUAUCUUUGUAAGAGUAGUCUUAACAGUAUAGAAAAAAUUGUUUUUAGUAUGAAUUCUGAAAAACCUAAGUAAGAGCAAGUACCCCAGUCUAAACCUGUCUUUUUUUCUUUCUUAUUGUAUUCUUUCUGUUUUAUAUAAAUAUAUACAAUGUGUGGGUGCGAUUGAGAAAAAGAACUUAGCACUUCUCUAAUGUAAUGUGUAUCUCAAAUCCUUCAAUAAUGUAGUCUUUAACUUUAAUAGACAUAAACAAAAAAUUAUAUUUAAUAAAAUAAUAAUAUUAAAAGUUUAACUUUUUAUUAAAGUAAAAAUAAUAUUAAAAAAAGAAGUCAAUAAUUUUUUUAAAAAAAUUAAAAUGUUAACUAAAAAAAUCUAAUUUUUUUUUAAAAAAAAAAAUUUAAAAAAAAAAAAUCACCCUUUAGAAGUUGGAUUUUCCAAUCCCGACUCCUCACUGUCAUAGCAAAAUGGUGCAUAUGAGGAUUUACGUUUGAAAUAUCUGAAAUAAAGAGGAGGGAGAGCGUGUACUUUGAGAAAAAAACCUCGAAACGACCCACGCUGUAUCUUGUCCUAGAGAUGAGUCUCCCCCAUCGAACUUGAUCUCGUUUCCAUCAACGUAGUUCUCAAGCCAACAUUGACUGGCUCUGAGCGUGAUGUCAGAGGUUUUUUUUGCGGGUUGAUAGCCCACACCAAAGUCACUUCGAGCAAUGUCCUCGCU